Molecule: long non-coding RNA, 2154 nt
Organism: Buteo japonicus
Lineage: Eukaryota; Metazoa; Chordata; Aves; Accipitriformes; Accipitridae
Source: Ensembl
AAUAUAGCUACUAUUGCUGCAAGGCCUCUCCAUGCCUUCUGAAUGUUUUCUGAAGGAAAGAACACAAGUAGAGCAUGGGAAAAAUAAAAGGCAUUUGGCAGCGGCAGCAGAUACAAGUAUGAACCAAAGGGGAAAAACCUGCAGGCGCUUUUUCUUUUCUGGUAUAGGGAGGAGAAUGCAGCUGAAAAGACCUCAGAGGUUUGUCUGCUGAAGCAACAGGACUUUGCUGGCCUUCCAGACGUGAACUGGGACCUAAAAGAAUUCAAGGAAUCAAUUCCAGGAGAAAAAACCCAAGUCUUCCAAAUAAUCAAUUGCAAAAUAACUUUACUGGAAAAAGUAGAAUAUGGCAUAUGAAUAAAGUAACAUAAUAGAAAGAAAUACGUAAUACAUUUUUUAUAAACUUAAUGGAAAGGAAAUUUGGGAUUUAGUUUCUUGUAGCUUUAGGUAGGCAAGGAGCAGUUGCUAGAGAUAAACCUUGCCUAGCCUUCAGAUGUUAAAAGCUGCAAAUAAUUGAGAGACAUAGAGCACAUUCAGGUUGCAGCCUCAGCAUGAAGGUACAAAUGCCAGAGAAAUGCUGCUCCAGAGAUGUUUUUUUUCUUUUAUUAUCUAUUAACUAGUAUAAAAAAGCAUUGUAACAAUCCCAUUGUUGUGGUUUAACCCCAGCCAGCAACUAAGCACCACGCAGCCGCUCACUCGCUCACCCCCUGACCCCCCCCCACAGUGGGAUGGGGGAGAAAUUCAGGAAAAGAAGCAAAACCCGUGGGUUGAGAUAAGAACGGUUUAAUAGAACAGAAAAGAAGAAACUAAUAAUGAUAAUGAUAACACUAAUAAAAUAACAACAGUAGAAAUAAAAGGAUUGGAAUGUACGAAUGAUACGCGGGGCAAUUGCUCACCACCUGCCGACCAACACCCAGCUAGUCCCCGAGUGGCAAAUUCCCACUCCCACUUCCCAGUUCCUAUACUAGAUGUGACGUCCCAUAGUAUGGAAUACCCUGUUGGCCAGUUUGGGUCAGGUGCCCUGGCUGUGUCCUGUGCCAACUUCUCGUGCCCCUCCAGCUUUCUCACUGGCUGGGGAUGAGAAGCUGAAAAAUCCUUGACUUUAGUCUAAACACUACUUAGCAACAACUGAAAACAUCAGCAUUAUCAACAUUCUUGCAUACUGAACUCAAAACAUAGCACUGUACCAGCUACUAGGAAGACAGUUAACUCUAUCCCAGCUGAAACCAGGAUACUUGUUUAUCACUGUGCUGCUAGAUAGACUACAUCUAACUUCUGACCGAACUCUUAUAUUUUGUUGGUCCUCCCACAGUCUGAUCUUGCUUUGCAGUUUUAGCUGUGGAGUAAAGAGUUCGUUCCAUUUCCAUUUUUAAUUACCAUUACUUGCCUAUGCUAAUUUCUCUUUGAUGCUUCUUCCCUGGCAUCUCUUUAGGACUUAGGAUAAAAACCUUAACUUAUAAAGCAUCCUAGAAAAAUACAGUAGUGUUACAUUUCCACCAAUGUUCUUGCACAUAUAGAUAGCCUGCUUGUUUUUCAUAUUAAGUCUUGCUAUUGUUCGUUUAUACAGAUCUAGCCUAACAGAGAUUUGGUCCGUGACUUAAUCUCUUAGAUACUGUUAUUUCCAUACUUUUUAUUUGUGAAGUACUUACUCUAUGGACGGAUGGCCUUUUCUGGGUGUCUGCUGCCUUCGUGAGACAGGAGAUAAUGCCAAAGUGCUUAAACAAAAAUGUUUGUAAAUUAAUGUUGUUUCCUAUUGCUGUCAACCUCUCCGUCAUUCAUGCCAAAUACAAGUUUUCACUGUGGUGAAAGAUUUGCGUGUGUGAUCUGUGUUGGCUUCUCUUGUGCAGCAGAAUUUGAGGACAGGGAAUGUCUCUGAUAGGAGAGUACUGGAUUGUCAUGUGAAAACAAAGGUUCUCUGCCUCCACUUAACAGAACUGAUGUGCUGCACAGUCAAAUCACUUCUAUUUUAUUAAAUUCCAUCCACAUACUUGGGUACAUAAAUUUGAAUAAUUCGUAGAUGCUUCUGACAGUUUCGUUUUUCAGAUGUAAAUCAUACAAGUUGCAUGCAACAGAUAGAUGAAAUGUAUUUUUAAUGAAGAUCUGAUUUAUUUUUUUUUCUGUCUCUGAUUUGAAAAUAUUUGGAAUAAAGCAUCAGCC